UUCAGGGGUAAACCUGAGAAACCCGAAAGGUCGAAAGGGGAGAUUCAGCGUGUCUCGAUCGUGGCGCUGGACGGUCGUGCGACGGACGGCGUACGCGUCGUCCGCGCCUUUCGUCCUCCGAACUGCGGUCGAACGCGUGCACUUCUCCCCCUGUAGGACGUCGCGAUUCGUCGGGUGUCGGCCUAAGGCUCGAGGUGGAGUUCGUCCGGACGUUUCGGCGUUCGUGACGAACCCUCGGUGUUUCCCGGUCGGCUCGCUCGACGAUAUACAGAUGGCGCGGGGCCGCUACGUUAGUUAGCGUUCGACCUUCGGCAAGCGCGCUCCUCGCGACGGUGAUCGGACCUGGUGCCGGUCCCGUCCCCGGGCGACUGUUGGCCGAAGUGUUCUCGAACAGACCUCGUUUUGAAACGCCGAUCUGCGACGCUAUAGCUUUGGGUACUUUC
This 443-nucleotide ribosomal RNA is filed under the name Nalepa quadrata. Its description in RNAcentral is "Nalepa sp. 4 XML-2022a partial large subunit ribosomal RNA". The record is from RNAcentral. Lineage: Eukaryota; Metazoa; Arthropoda; Insecta; Coleoptera; Tenebrionidae.